UCCAGAUGACAUUGAUCAUGCUGUUUUAAUAGUUGGUUAUGGUUCAGAAGACAGUGAAGAGUAUUGGAUAGUGAAGAAUUCAUGGGGAACAAGUUGGGGGAUAGAUGGAUAUUUCUAUCUAAAAAGAGACACUGAUUUACCAUAUGGUGUUUGUGCUGUCAAUGCCAUGGCUUCUUAUCCAACUAAACAAUCCUCUUCACCAUCCCCUUAUCCAUCGCCAAGUGUUCCUCCACCGCCACCUCCUUCAACUCCACCACCACCACCACCUCCAUCUCCUUCACCAAGUGAUUGUGGAGACUUUUCCUAUUGUUCAAGUGAUGAGACAUGCUGUUGCCUUUUUGAAUUCUAUGAUUAUUGCCUAAUAUACGGCUGCUGUGAAUAUGAAAAUGCUGUUUGCUGUACUGGAACUGAAUACUGCUGCCCUAGUGAUUACCCCAUUUGUGAUGUCCAAGAAGGACUCUGCCUCAAG
RNAcentral lists this long non-coding RNA (469 nucleotides) under Gossypium barbadense (sea-island cotton). RNAcentral describes it as "long non-coding RNA (GBAR_LNC017243)". Lineage: Eukaryota; Viridiplantae; Streptophyta; Magnoliopsida; Malvales; Malvaceae. The record is from RNAcentral.